RNAcentral lists this ribosomal RNA (495 nucleotides) under uncultured Actinomycetes bacterium. Its description in RNAcentral is "bacterial SSU rRNA". It matches the Rfam family "Bacterial small subunit ribosomal RNA", at positions 8 to 513 of the family's 1533-position model. The record is from RNAcentral. Lineage: Bacteria; Bacillati; Actinomycetota; Actinomycetes.
AGGGUUCGAUCAUGGCUCAGGACGAACGCUGGCGGUACGCCUUAUGCAUGCAAGUUGAGCGAAGCUUUUCGGUAGUUUACUACUAGAAACGACUGAGCGGCGAACGGGUGAGUAACGCGUGAGCAAUCUACCUUAGUUACUGGGAUAGCCCGAGGAAACUCGGAUUAAUACCGGAUAUUCUUAUUUUUUCACAUGAAGUUUUAAGGAAAGGUCAGCCGAACUAAGAUGAGCUCGCGUUCUAUCAGCUAGUUGGUGGGGUAAAAGCCUACCAAGGCUACGACGGAUAGCUGGUCUGAGAGGACGAUCAGCCACACUGGGACUGAGACACGGCCCAGACUCCUACGGGAAGCUGCAGCAGGGAAUAUUGUGCAAUGAGCGAAAGCUUGACACAGCGACACCGCGUGUGGGAUGACGGUUCUAGGAUUGUAAACCACUUUCAGGAGGGAAGAAAAUGACGGUACCUCCACAAGAAAACCGGCCAACUAUGUGCCAGCC